GCAUGAAGCUGGAAUCGCUAGUAAUCGCGAAUCAGCAUGUCGCGGUGAAUACGUUCCCGGGUCUUGUACACACCGCCCGUCACACCAUGGGAGUCGGAAAUGCCCGAAGCCAGUGACCCAACCUUUAAGGAGGGAGCUGUCGAAGGCAGGUCUGGUAACUGGGGUGAAGUCGUAACAAGGUAGC
RNAcentral lists this ribosomal RNA (184 nucleotides) under uncultured bacterium. Its description in RNAcentral is "partial 16S ribosomal RNA". It matches the Rfam family "Bacterial small subunit ribosomal RNA", at positions 1318 to 1500 of the family's 1533-position model. The record is from RNAcentral.